This 450-nucleotide ribosomal RNA is filed under the name uncultured bacterium. RNAcentral describes it as "partial 16S ribosomal RNA". It matches the Rfam family "Bacterial small subunit ribosomal RNA", at positions 338 to 795 of the family's 1533-position model. The record is from RNAcentral.
CCUACGGGUGGCUGCAGUAAGGAAUAUUGGUCAAUGGACGAAAGUCUGAACCAGCCAUGCCGCGUGGAGGAUGAAGGUCCUCUGGAUUGUAAACUUCUUUUAUAUGGGACGAGAAAAGGCUUUUCUAAGUCGUCUGACGGUACCAUAUGAAUAAGCACCGGCUAACUCCGUGCCAGCAGCCGCGGGAAUACGGAGGGUGCAAGCGUCAUCGGGAUUCACUGGGUUGUAGGUGGGUUGGUAAGGGUGUGGUGAAAUCCCCGAGCUUAACUUGGGAACUGCCAUUGAUACUAUCAGUCUUGAAAACCGUGGAGGUCAGCGGAAUAUGUCAUGUAGCGGUGAAAUGCUUAGAUAUGACAUAGAACACCAAUUGCGAAGGCAGCUGGCUACCCGAAUAUUGACACUGAGGCACGAAAGCGUGGGGAUCAAACAGGAUUAGAUACCCCUGUAGUC